RNAcentral lists this unclassified non-coding RNA (207 nucleotides) under rhizosphere metagenome. RNAcentral describes it as "partial ribosomal RNA internal transcribed spacer region". The record is from RNAcentral.
GUAGGUGAACCUGCGGAAGGAUCAUUAGUGAAUAACGUGGGUGUCUUCGCUUCGGCAAGGCAUCUGCACCUUUACAUCCAUAACACCUGUGAACUGUAAGAUGUGGUGAUUCGUUGCCCAUCUGACCUUUUUAUCAAACAUCAGUAGUAAUAAAAGUAGUUAUAUUAUAAUCUAAUAAAACUUUCAACAACGGAUCUCUUGGCUCUC